RNAcentral lists this ribosomal RNA (467 nucleotides) under uncultured bacterium. Its description in RNAcentral is "partial 16S ribosomal RNA". It matches the Rfam family "Bacterial small subunit ribosomal RNA", at positions 28 to 506 of the family's 1533-position model. The record is from RNAcentral.
GACGAACGCUGGCGGCGUGCUUAACACAUGCAAGUCGAACGGAAAGGCCCUGCUUUUGUGGGGUGCUCGAGUGGCGAACGGGUGAGUAACACGUGAGUAACCUGCCCUUGACUUUGGGAUAACUUCAGGAAACUGGGGCUAAUACCGGAUAGGAGCUCCUGCUGCAUGGUGGGGGUUGGAAAGUUUCGGCGGUUGGGGAUGGACUCGCGGCUUAUCAGCUUGUUGGUGGGGUAGUGGCUUACCAAGGCUUUGACGGGUAGCCGGCCUGAGAGGGUGACCGGCCAAAUGGGGACGGGAAAAGGGCCCAAACCCCAAGGGGGGGCAGGGGGGGGGAAUAUUGCAAAAGGGGGGGAGGCCGGAGGCAGAAACGCCGGGGGGGGGAGGACGGCCUUGGGGUGGGAAACCGCUUUCGCCGGUGACGAAGGGGGGGGGAGGGAAAUGGGGAAAAAAGCACCGGCAAAUUAGGG